ACCAUAACCCCUAUGAAGAUACCC
This 24-nucleotide non-coding RNA is filed under the name Arabidopsis thaliana (thale cress). The record is from RNAcentral. Lineage: Eukaryota; Viridiplantae; Streptophyta; Magnoliopsida; Brassicales; Brassicaceae.